GCAGAGCCAAGGAAUCUGGCUGUUGGGCUUCCUCCAAGAAGGAACUGACCUGUAGUCAGGGAGACUGCAGAGAGGAGGGGAACAUGGCUGUGCUGCAGGCUUCCUUCUGGCAUGAAGGACAGCCCCAAUAGCCAAUCACAGCUGAAGGAGCUUUCUCUCUCAACUCUGGUUACAGCUAACACAGCCUGCAGUUUCAGCAUUUGGAUAUAAUGCUGGUGGCUGCAAAGCUCAGAAAGAAGCUGUAUGCCCACCAAACGUCCCAGCUGGUAUGUCACUCACGGUCGUAGCAUUUGUCUGAUGAGGCGAAUACUAACCUGAAGUCAGUUGAAUAAGUGAAGCCUGAGAAGAUCAGCAACUCUGGACUUACCUUCCCAUGAUCUCAGGAUAAGUCAUUAUGUAACUGAAAAAAGGGCUGUUAUCUCUGAAGGUUGGAAGUCAUAACAGGUGGAGAAACACUGUGACUUGUAAAUGAUGCAAGAGAGUCAGCAAGGGAAUGUGGCUGAAACACUCUGGAUUCCUUGCCUGUACUUCUUAGGAAUACAACCUCUGAAUGCUGAUUAAAUA
Hemicordylus capensis (graceful crag lizard) is the source of this 564-nucleotide long non-coding RNA. RefSeq lists it as uncharacterized. The record is from RefSeq and is a predicted model, not a curated record. The transcript has 4 exons. Lineage: Eukaryota; Metazoa; Chordata; Lepidosauria; Squamata; Cordylidae.